Molecule: ribosomal RNA, 466 nt
Filed under: uncultured bacterium
Lineage: Bacteria
Description: bacterial SSU rRNA
Rfam family: Bacterial small subunit ribosomal RNA
Source: RNAcentral
CCCAGACUCCUACGGGAGGCAGCAGUGAGGAAUAUUGGUCAAUGGCCGAGAGGCUGAAUCAGCCAAGUCGCGUGAGGGAUGACGGCCCUACGGGUCGUAAACCUCUUUUGCCGGGGAGCAAGGGCGGGGACGUGUCCCGGCCCGGAGAGUACCCGGAGAAAAAGCAUCGGCUAACUCCGUGCCAGCAGCCGCGGUAAUACGGAGGAUGCGAGCGUUAUCCGGAUUUAUUGGGUUUAAAGGGUGCGUAGGCGGAAUAUCAAGUCAGCGGUAAAAAUUCGGGGCUCAACCCCGUCGUGCCGUUGAAACUGAUGUUCUUGAGUGGGCGAGAAGUAUGCGGAAUGCGUGGUGUAGCGGUGAAAUGCAUAGAUAUCACGCAGAACUCCGAUUGCGAAGGCAGCAUACCGGCGCCCAACUGACGCUGAAGCACGAAAGCGUGGGUAUCGAACAGGAUUAGAUACCCCAGUAC